GAGGAGAGGACUUUUAAUUAAAGGGUGUAAGAGUGAUUUUAAUAUUGACACUUAAGAAAUGACAAUUUGGUUAAUAACACAUGAGGUCAAGGUUAGUUUAAAAUAAUGCUUCCCAAAUAAUAAAAAAAGGGUUUUAUGAAUUAAAGAAAGAAGACAAUUAAAGGUGUAGAAUAGUUUAGUUAUCUUCUCGUGGGCUAUACAACUUCAUUCGAACCAAACCAAAAUCUCGCUUUUACAAAAUCUAGGCCCCGACUUUACUAACCCCAAGUACAAUCUGUUAUGCAUCGGUUGCAUCGGUUGGACCGGAUUGCUUUUACAAAACAUGAUGUUUGCAGUUUUGAUAAGAGAUAGAUAAGUAAUAUUUUACAUCAGAAAUGGAAUACGUUGAUCAUUAGAAUUUGAUAUUCAAUGUCUAACUAUUUGUGAUUUUACGAAUAUCAAAGAUGAUGAU
Molecule: long non-coding RNA, 451 nt
Filed under: Brassica napus (rape)
Lineage: Eukaryota; Viridiplantae; Streptophyta; Magnoliopsida; Brassicales; Brassicaceae
Description: long non-coding RNA (BNAP_LNC022473)
Source: RNAcentral